RNAcentral lists this long non-coding RNA (2753 nucleotides) under Triticum aestivum (bread wheat). RNAcentral's name for it is "long non-coding RNA (TAES_LNC007981)". Lineage: Eukaryota; Viridiplantae; Streptophyta; Magnoliopsida; Poales; Poaceae. The record is from RNAcentral.
ACCGGAGCAUCGUCACCGGUUCUCGGACAAAUUGGUGUGAAGGUAAUUGUUUUAGCGGGUGCCUGGUACAUUUGGUGGCAAAGGAGUAAACUUGUCAAAGGACAGCAAGUAGCUUGGCCGGCUAGAACAACAUUUGCUAAUCAGGCUUUCACCUCAAACCAUUCUACCGUGCGAGCAGUGAAGGCACAUGAAAUUUCAUGGACAAAGCCACCACGGGGUUCAUAUAAACUUAGGGACUGUCUAGGUCUCAGUCGACUGAGACUUCGCGAAGUCUCAGUCGGCUGACGUCAUCAUAUGUAGAUUAGGCCUGUUAAGUGGCUCUCUAUCUGCUGGGUUGAACCGGCUUAACACCUGGGCUGAUUUCUCUUUUCCUGUUUGUUUGUUGGGCUGGGCCAUGACAUUGUUUGCUUGUGGGCCUGGACGACAUAGGAAAAAGAUAAAAAAAAACUAUUUGCUGCUCUGCUUUAUGAACUCUACUUUUUGACUGAACCCAGGCAAAACCCCAUGCCCACAAGCAUGGAGAAACUCACUAGUGUAAGGGCGUCUGAUCUCUUCUCUGAUUUUCUCCCCCUCCCACCUUUCCCCCCGUCUUCUCUUCUGUGAUUUGUUCUAGAUCUGAUUUUCUUUUCUCUCUUCUCAUGUUUGUAACAGCAAUCCUGUAGCAGUAUGGAAGAUUCCUGAUGGGACAGAGGUUAGAGUUAUAAUUUGUAGGAAAAUUAGAGAAGAGGCAAAACUGAAUCAAGUACUAUUGGACCGCAUGUGUGUUGUAGCAAUUCUGACAGCAGAAAAUCAUUUUAUUUUUAACUGUAUGUCCAUGAAAAAUUGAUGUUGGACUCCUCCCUACAAAAGUUGUAUAUGGAUUGAUUGGUUCAUGUUUUAGGACAGAAUAUGGCUUGGUAAUUAAAACAGAAAUCAGUAGGGUGCUGCCCUCUCCCCUGCACAAGACACUAAAAGGAAAGACUGAACUUUUUUCAAGAUUUGCUACAGUGGGGUUGUAUUACAAGCAUAUUAUCAUACAUGACCCUGCCUAGUGUACAGAAACAGAUGAGAAAAAUGUAGCAUGGUUAACAUCUAGUUUGGUGACUACAGAAGAUCAAGAAUGUAUAGUGUUAACUAAGAAAAAAGAAACAGAGGCAUAGAAAAAAUGAACCUUUCUUGUGGAUGACCAAAUAUACCUCAGCAAUAAUGUUUUCUCUUCAUUUUGUAGGUGCUGGACGGAACUAUGGCACAAAGAACUCCAAACAGCUGUGGACCAGGACCAGUUAAUCUGCUGACACCGGUUCAUGUAAGAUUGAUAUUUUUUUGCAAAAAAGGUUGUUUCACAAGGGUGGCCAAAAAAAGGAACUUAGAACAUCACUCUCCAUGUGCAGCAGCCAUACCUUGGUGUCCAACAUGUGCAGCAUCAACAAACUGUGAUGAAUCUGGCAUCCCAACCAUCUUCAAGUGCAUUUGCACAACAUGUAUGUGCUUUCAUGAACAACAAAAAUAAACUCUUUAAGUUAUCUGCCUUGAUGAAUAUAAUCUGGUACUCUGUUACACAUCAAGUUCUAACAUGCAAGAAAAGUAAAAAAAUGCAGGGUCAUGCCGAAUGCGAGUGCCUCAGAAAAUAAAUAAUAAUAAUCUCAGUAUGCCGAAUGCCUCAGAAAAUACAAACAAGCAUUGGCAAUGCUCAGUGCCAAGCAAGCAAUUGAAGGGACAUCAAGCAAUUGAAGGGACAUCAGUAACAACCAAGUACAAGUACAUCACAUCAGAAUUCAAUAGUUACCUUCGAAAAAAUCUCAGCUACCUACCUCUAUUUCAACGUCGGCCAUGGAAUUUGUUCUCUUCAUUUCACACUCAGAAAAGUACGAGGUCAAGCCAAACAAAAAACUAAUUCGCUCCCUCAGAUUCGUGAUUCACACCCAGAAAAAACAUAAAAAAAAACAUACCCAAAAAUCGUCAUCUCCAUUUGCAAACUCCAUCCCAGAAUCUAGAUUCACACCAUAUAUCCCCUAGCGGGCAAACAAACAAAUCUGAGAUAAUAAAAGCUUGUCAUAAAACUGUGGUAGAGAGUAAGUGUGGAUGGUUAAUGCGUUCACAUAUUGCUAAUUGUAACUAGUAAAAGGAAACACUCCCAGAUUUUCUUAUGGAAAUGUAAAACAUCAAGUGUCUGUUUCGGUAGUUCAGACAAACAAAACCAAAACAGGCACUACAAAUCCAACAUUCCAUGAGUUGGAGAGAGGAAGCUAAAAGCAAAACAACUUUUGAAUAAAUGUGGAAAAUUGAUGUUGAAAAGAUUAAGUGAUGCCUUAAUUAGUCAAGACUAUCAGCAGCAAAUCUCCUACCUUGAGAGAUACAGAAGGUAGCUAAAUCCAUCAACUAAAGUGGUAAAAAAACUAACAGGUGCAGAUCAAACUUGCACGGUAGUACUAUAGGAAUACUGACCAUUUACAAGCAUGUUGCUUAAGUAAUUCAGACAUGUCUACUGACAGUGAACUUGGAUACUUGUAAAUUCACAACCACAGAAUGUCUACUGACAGUGAACAGAAUUAGACUGACGGUCUCAUAAAGCACAGAAAAUUCAGAUGUAGUCCUACCAAGUCCCCAUCUCACUGACCGGGGUGGCGCUGGAGGACGAUGGAGAAAACGUCCGCGCUGCCCCUGCCCCCUUUUUGCCGGGUAGCACCACCGACGCAGCUGUUGUGCCCGAGGAUCUGGACAAGUAACUCUUCUCUCCUUUAAUAUACUCCCCUUUUUUUGGAAAAUGAGCUCCG